AUCCUACGGGGCGCAGCAGUGGGGAAUAUUGCACAAUGGGGGAAACCCUGAUGCAGCGACGCCGCGUGAGUGAAGAAGUAUCUCGGUACGUAAAGCACUAUCAGCAGGGAAGAAAAAAAGUCCUUUGGACUUUGGACGGUACCUGACCAAGAAGCCCCGGCUAACUACGUGCCAGCAGCCGCGGUAAUACGUAGGGGGCAAGCGUUAUCCGGAAUUACUUGGUGUAUAGGGUGCGUA
RNAcentral lists this ribosomal RNA (237 nucleotides) under uncultured bacterium. Its description in RNAcentral is "partial 16S ribosomal RNA". It matches the Rfam family "Bacterial small subunit ribosomal RNA", at positions 335 to 573 of the family's 1533-position model. The record is from RNAcentral.